Molecule: ribosomal RNA, 325 nt
Filed under: Eutreptiella gymnastica
Lineage: Eukaryota; Euglenozoa; Euglenophyceae; Eutreptiales; Eutreptiaceae
Description: partial Bacterial small subunit ribosomal RNA
Rfam family: Bacterial small subunit ribosomal RNA
Source: RNAcentral
AAAGAUUUAUCGGAGAAGGAUCAGCCCGCGUUAGAUUAGAUAGUUGGUGGGGUAAUGGCCUACCAAGUCUACGAUCUAUAGCUGGUUUUAGAGGAUGAUCAGCAACACUGGGACUGAGACACGGCCCAGACUCCUACGGGAGGCAGCAGUGGGGAAUAUUGCACAAUGGGGGAAACCCUGAUGCAGCCAUGCCGCGUGUGUGAAGAAGGCCUUCGGGUUGUAAAGCACUUUCAGUUGUGAGGAAAAGUUAGUAGUUAAUACCUGCUAGCCGUGACGUUAACAACAGAAGAAGCACCGGCUAACUCCGUGCCAGCAGCCGCGGUAA